This 301-nucleotide ribosomal RNA is filed under the name uncultured Oscillospiraceae bacterium. RNAcentral's name for it is "bacterial SSU rRNA". It matches the Rfam family "Bacterial small subunit ribosomal RNA", at positions 338 to 654 of the family's 1533-position model. Lineage: Bacteria; Bacillati; Bacillota; Clostridia; Eubacteriales; Oscillospiraceae. The record is from RNAcentral.
CCUACGGGGGGCAGCAGUGGGGGAUAUUGCGCAAUGGGGGAAACCCUGACGCAGCGACGCCGCGUGAAGGAUGAAGGUUUUCGGAUCGUAAACUUCUUUGACCGGGGACGAAGAAAUGACGGUACCCGGGGAACAAGCCACGGCUAACUACGUGCCAGCAGCCGCGGUAAUACGUAGGUGGCGAGCGUUGUCCGGAUUUACUGGGUGUAAAGGGCGCGUAGGCGGGGCGGCAAGUCCGAUGUGAAAUCCCGCGGCUCAACCGUGGAACCGCAUCGGAAACUGUCGUCCUUGAGUAUCGGAG